This 776-nucleotide ribosomal RNA is filed under the name uncultured Neocallimastigales. RNAcentral describes it as "partial large subunit ribosomal RNA". It matches the Rfam family "Eukaryotic large subunit ribosomal RNA", at positions 24 to 614 of the family's 3401-position model. The record is from RNAcentral. Lineage: Eukaryota; Fungi; Neocallimastigomycota; Neocallimastigomycetes; Neocallimastigales.
UCGCAUCUGUGCAUGCAGCAUAUCAAUAAGCGGAGGAAAAGAAACUAACAAGGAUUCCCCUAGUAACGGCGAGUGAAGCGGGAAGAGCUCAAAUUUGAAAUCUUAAAGGGUUUCCCUUUACGAAUUGUAGUUUAAAGAAGUGUUUUCUGUUGAGGUUUUGGUAAAAGUUCUUUGGAAUAGGACAUCAUAGAGGGUGAGAAUCCCGUAUUUGACCUUUACUUUCAACUUUGUGAUACACUUUCAAAGAGUCGGAUUGCUUGGGAAUGCAGUCCAAAAUGGGUGGUAAAUUUCAUCUAAAGCUAAAUAUUGGCGAGAGACCGAUAGCGAACAAGUACCGUGAGGGAAAGAUGAAAAGAACUUUGAAAAGAGAGUUAAACAGUACGUGAAAUUGUCAAAAGGGAAGCGUUUGACACCAGUGUUGUUUUUCUGAAAAUCAAUUAAAGAACUGUUUAUGCUAAGCUGUUUAGACUUUAUCAGCUAUCUGUUUAGUUUUGAGCUUUUCUUUAAUGCACUUUUCAGUUAACAAGUCAACAUCAAUUUCUUUUGCUGUAAAAAAGCUUGAGGAAGGUGGCUUGAGAUUCGUCUUAAGUGUUUAUAGCCUCUUGCCUAUGCAGUCGGAGAGAUUGAGGUCUGCAGCGUAGAUCCUUCGGGGCUAAAUGCAUUUGUGCUAAGUUAUAGCAUUUUAUAGACAACUUGUUGACUAUGAUUUGUCUAUGUAGCUUACUCGCUUAUGUUAUUUUACCUACGCUUAGGAUGUUGAGUCAUCACACAUCUCU